Molecule: ribosomal RNA, 412 nt
Filed under: uncultured bacterium
Lineage: Bacteria
Description: bacterial SSU rRNA
Rfam family: Bacterial small subunit ribosomal RNA
Source: RNAcentral
ACUGGGAGGGUGCGCCGGAUACUGAGGGACUAGAGUGCGGGAUGGGAGAGUGGAAUUCCUGGUGUAGCGGUGAAAUGCGUAGAUAUCAGGAGGAACACCGGUGGUGUAAACGGCUCUCUGGACCGCAACUGACGCUGAGACACGAAAGCGUGGGUAGCAAACAGGAUUAGAUACCCUGGUAGUCCACGCCCUAAACGAUGCAUAUUUGGUGUAGGUCAUUCAGUUGAUCUGUGCCGGAGCUAACGCGUUAAAUAUGCCGCCUGGGGAGUACAGUCGCAAGGCUGAAACUCAAAGGAAUUGACGGGGGCCCGCACAAGCGGUGGAGCAUGUGGUUCAAUUCGACGCAACGCGAAGAACCUUACCUGGGCUCGAACGGCUUCUCAACGGAGGUGGAAACACUUCUAUCCCGCAA